This is a non-coding RNA of Castor canadensis (American beaver), 1303 nucleotides long. Lineage: Eukaryota; Metazoa; Chordata; Mammalia; Rodentia; Castoridae. The record is from RefSeq and is a predicted model, not a curated record.
CAAUCUCUUUCAGCAUUUGCUCUUGCAAGAAUUAAUUGAAAUUCAUUGUCUGCUUACUUCUCGUAAUGUUGGUAUUAGAAGAAUACAGAUCAAAUUGCUUUUUGAAUGAACACAAGGAAAACCUGCUGUUGCAGUGAUAGAUAAUGGAAGAGGAAUGACCUCUAAACAGCUUAACAACUGGGCCGUGUAUAGGUUGUCAAAAUUUACAAGGCAAGGUGACUUUGAAAGUGAUCAUUCGGGAUAUGUUCGGCCAGUACCAGUACCACGCAGUUUAAAUAGUGAUAUUUCCUAUUUUGGUGUUGGGGGCAAACAGGCUGUUUUCUUUGUUGGACAAUCAGCCAGAAUGAUAAGCAAACCUGCAGAUUCUCAAGAUGUUCAUGAGCUUGUGCUUUCUAAAGAAGAUUUUGAGAAGAAGGAAAAAAAUAAAGAGGCAAUAUAUAGUGGAUAUAUUAGAAACAGAAAGCCAUCUGAUUCUGUCACAUUACAAAUGAUGAUGAAAGAUUUCUACAUAAUCUUAUCAUAGAAGAAAAGGAAAAAGAUAGCUUUACUGCUGUGGUUAUCACAGGGGUACAAGCAGAACACAUACAGUACUUGAAAAAUUACUUCCAUCUUUGGACACGGCAGUUAGCGCAUAUUUAUCAUUACUAUAUUCAUGGCCCAAAAGGAAAUGAAAUACGUACAUCGAAAGAAGUUGAACCUUUCAACAAUAUAGAUAUUGAAAUUUCUAUGUUUGAAAAAGGGAAGGCACCUAAGAUUGUCAACCUGAGGGAAAUACAAGAUGACAUGCAGACGUUGUAUAUAAACACAGCAUCUGAUAGUUUUGAGUUCAAGGCUCAUGUUGAAGGAGACGGUGUAGUGGAAGGGAUUAUCCGCUAUCAUCCUUUCUUAUAUGAUAGAGAAACCUAUCCUGAUGAUCCAUGCUUUCCGUCAAGUAUGUUAACCUCAUCUCUUAGCUCAAAUGUGCUGUGACUUAGGAUAGUGAUUUACUUAAAUAAUUACUAGUUGAGGUAUUAAGAUUAGAUAAAUAAAUAUGAAACGUUUUUUCCUUAUUCAAGCCUUAAGUUAUUAGAUAUUUGUGAUUUUUAACCCUUGAUUUUGUGUAUAUUCAGUUCCAGAUGGAAAAAGCACUGGCCAUAAGAAGCUGUUCUUUUAAACCUCUUACUGAAGUAAAUUUUUGGAUAUGUAUUCAUGCUAAUCAUUUAUAUAUUCCUGAGAUUAUCUUCUCUGUACAUUUAUUUGUAAGGAAGUUUUACACUUUAUGUAGUCACAUCUGUUCAGUUUUUUCUUUAUACUUUGAUUUUGU